GUCAUUCUUCUUUUCAUUGUUAAUAUUUUUUAGGCUUAAUAUUGGAUUAGUUUCUAGAUUUUAACCCCUCUAUUUCUGACUUUCAAUUUUAUCCAAUCCUCUCUAUUUUGUCAAUUUCAAAAUGAAACCAAACACCUAAGUUAAAUAUAUUAGUGUAGGGACUUAAGAACGAAAUGACUCGUUAUGACUUAGAAGGUGACUUCCAUAUUUCAGCAUAUAUAAAACUAAUAUGUAGUUUGGUGAAUAUUAGUUAAU
Molecule: long non-coding RNA, 255 nt
Filed under: Medicago truncatula (barrel medic)
Lineage: Eukaryota; Viridiplantae; Streptophyta; Magnoliopsida; Fabales; Fabaceae
Description: long non-coding RNA (MTRU_LNC005412)
Source: RNAcentral